CCUAAUUUUACAAACUACACACACAUACACAGAAAGGAAAGAAAGGGGACAAGGGGAGCUUGAGGGGGAAACGGAGAAUAGAGGAAGAGGGUGAUGGAACAGAGUGAGAAGGAGGAUCGCCGCGUUGUGCCGCUCCCUGUGUCAGUUGCCGUCGCUGUCACCAAAGCCAGAGAAGUGGAGAAGCAAAACCGUGAAGAGAGAGAGAGAGAUCGACGGAGACGUUCACUCGCUCAUCCUUGUCGCUGCCAUGCGUUGCCUCCGCCGUCGCCGCUAGUUCAGCCGCCGUCGAGCUCGCAGCAACCGUCACCAUGGACACCGCCACUAUCAUCUCCGAAGCUGCGUCGUCGAUUAGGUUAAGGAGUGGGAGAAUCGUGAACAACCAGAGGAGGAGAAGAACAUGUGGUGGUGGGUGUUCUCUUAGCCAGCGUCGUCGAAGGAUGCUCCACCAUCACCGCUGGAAUCACGAGCUGAGCUGUAGACUGUGAAGAUUGAUUUUCCGAAAGAAUCGUUGCUGCUAUAAUCGUCUGUGCUGCUGCCGCUGCUUCUUCGUUCUAUUAUUCCUUUCUAAUUCUUAAUUAUUAUUCUAUCCAAAAUGAAUUCAUUGUUUUGUUCACUGUCGUGGCCAACUCGCGUUGCUGCUGCCCUAUCAAAGCUGUUGUGAAUGUCGCUAACAUUGCUGGAUAAGGGAUGAAGGAGCUGCUGCAUUUUGGGUGCAGCCCAAAUAGUCAUCACGCCACACUUCCGUCUUCGGUUAUGUGAAAUUCGACAUCGAGUGACACAGGUUUGAAGAUGCAAUAUGAAGCUGCAAGUGAUUAGUAGGUUUUCUUUAUGGUUUUAAUUGCUUUCAUAGAGUCCUCUCGCUC
Arachis ipaensis is the source of this 863-nucleotide non-coding RNA. NCBI's taxonomy places the organism in Eukaryota, Viridiplantae, Streptophyta, Magnoliopsida, Fabales, Fabaceae. The record is from RefSeq and is a predicted model, not a curated record.